ACUGACAGCCAUGGUUACCGCGGCUGCUGGCACGGAGUUAGCCGGUGCUUCUUCUGUGAGUGAUGUCCUUCCUGCCGGCUAUUAACCCGCAGGCCUUCUUCCUCACUGAAAGUGCUUUACAACCCGAAGGCCUUCUUCACACACGCGGCAUGGCUGGAUCAGGGUUGCCCCCAUUGUCCAAUAUUCCCCACUGCUGCCUCCCGUAGGAGUCUGGGCCGUGUCUCAGUCCCAGUGUGGCUGAUCAUCCUCUCAGACAAGCUACGGAUCGUCGCCUUGGUGAGCCGUUACCUCACCAACCAGCUAAUCCGACAUAGGCUCAUCCGAUAGCGCGAGGCCCGAAGGUCCCCCGCUUUCCCCCGUAGGGCGUAUGCGGUAUUAGCCUGGGUUUCCCCAGGUUAUCCCCCACUACCGGGCAGAUUCCUAUGCAUUACUCACCCGUCCGCCGCUCGCCACCAGGGAGCAAGCUCCCCGUGCUGCCGCUCGACUUGCAUGUGUUAGGCCUGCCGCCAGCGUUCAAU
This 518-nucleotide ribosomal RNA is filed under the name uncultured bacterium. RNAcentral's name for it is "partial 16S ribosomal RNA". The record is from RNAcentral.